This 254-nucleotide ribosomal RNA is filed under the name uncultured bacterium. RNAcentral's name for it is "partial 16S ribosomal RNA". It matches the Rfam family "Bacterial small subunit ribosomal RNA", at positions 524 to 776 of the family's 1533-position model. The record is from RNAcentral.
GACGUAGGGGGCGAGCGUUGUCCGGAUUUAUUGGGCGUAAAGGGUUCCUAGGCGGCUGAGAAAGUCGGGUGUGAAACCUCCAGGCUCAACCUGGAGACGCCACUCGAUACUGCUCUAGCUAGAGUCCGGUAGGGGCGAACGGAAUCUCCGGUGUAGCGGUGAAAUGCUUAGAUAUCAGGAGGAACACCAAUUGCGAAGGCAGCUCGCUGGGACGGUACUGACGCUGAGACGCGAAAGCGUGGGGAGCGAACAGG